UAGGGAAUCUUCCGCAAUGGACGCAAGUCUGACGGAGCAACGCCGCGUGAGUGAAGUAGGAUUUCGGUUCGUAAAACUCUGUUGUUAGAGAAGAACAGCGCAUAGAGUAACGGUUAUGCGUGUGACGGUAUCUAACCAGAAAGCCACGGCUAACUACGUGCCAGCAGCCGCGGUAAUACGUAGGUGGCAAGCGUUGUCCGGAUUUAUUGGGCGUAAAGCGAGCGCAGGCGGUCAAUUAAGUCUGAUGUGAAAGCCCCCGGCUCAACCGGGGAGGGUCAUUGGAAACUGGUUGACUUGAGUGCAGAAGAGGAGAGUGGAAUUCCAUGUGUAGCGGUGAAAUGCGUAGAUAUAUGGAGGAACACCAGUGGCGAAGGCGACUCUCUGGUCUGUAACUGACGCUGAGGCUCGAAAGCGUGGGUAGCAAACAGG
RNAcentral lists this ribosomal RNA (429 nucleotides) under Bacteroidota bacterium. RNAcentral describes it as "Bacteroidetes bacterium partial 16S ribosomal RNA". It matches the Rfam family "Bacterial small subunit ribosomal RNA", at positions 355 to 776 of the family's 1533-position model. Lineage: Bacteria; Pseudomonadati; Bacteroidota. The record is from RNAcentral.